GACGAACGCUGGCGGCGUGCUUAACACAUGCAAGUCGAACGGAAAGGCCCUGCUUUUGUGGGGUGCUCGAGUGGCGAACGGGUGAGUAACACGUGAGUAACCUGCCCUUGACUUUGGGAUAACUUCAGGAAACUGGGGCUAAUACCGGAUAGGAGCUCCUGCUGCAUGGUGGGGGUUGGAAAGUGUCGGCGGUUGGGGAUGGACUCGCGGCUUAUCAGCUUGUUGGUGGGGUAGUGGCUUACCAAGGCUUUGACGGGUAGCCGGCCUGAGAGGGUGACCGGCCACAUUGGGACUGAGAUACGGCCCAGACUGCUACGGGAGGAAGCAGUGGGGAAUAGUGCACAAUGGGCGGAAGCCGGAUGCAGCAACGCCGCGUGCGGGAUGACGGCCUUCGGGUUGUAAACCGCUUUCGCCUGUGACGAAGCGUGAGUGACGGUAAUGGGUAAAGAAGCAACGGCUAACUACGUG
This 468-nucleotide ribosomal RNA is filed under the name uncultured bacterium. Its description in RNAcentral is "partial 16S ribosomal RNA". It matches the Rfam family "Bacterial small subunit ribosomal RNA", at positions 28 to 507 of the family's 1533-position model. The record is from RNAcentral.